GACGUAGGGCGCGAGCGUUGUCCGGAAUUACUGGGCGUAAAGAGCUCGUAGGCGGUUUGUCGCGUCUGCUGUGAAAUCCCGAGGCUCAACCUCGGGCCUGCAGUGGGUACGGGCAGGCUCGAGUUCGGUAGGGGAGACUGGAAUUCCUGGUGUAGCGGUGAAAUGCGCAGAUAUCAGGAGGAACACCGGUGGCGAAGGCGGGUCUCUG
RNAcentral lists this ribosomal RNA (208 nucleotides) under uncultured bacterium. Its description in RNAcentral is "partial 16S ribosomal RNA". It matches the Rfam family "Bacterial small subunit ribosomal RNA", at positions 524 to 731 of the family's 1533-position model. The record is from RNAcentral.